AUUGAUGAGUAGUUGUCCAUUAUUAACCAACAAAUCCUUGGUAAGCUUGUGUGCCAUAGGUGACAACGUUCCUUGGAGAACGUUAAAAUAGAUCAAGAAGACAUUUAUGACGGACACAGGUUUCAUCAUGUGUAGAAAUGGAAGAGAAGUGGUGGUAGUAUGAGGGUUACUGGUUUUGGUUGGCAGUGGCGCAAUGGCAGAGGUUGCCAGAAUUUGACCAGAAAACGCAAGAAAUUACAGUUCAUUUUCUGUUUGGUUGGUCAGAAAAAGCUAGAAAAGAAAACAGAAAAAGUCGAAGGCUUUGACUUCGUUGCUGGAUAUUACGUUCUUGCAAACGUGAUUUUCACCAAAUGGAAGCUUGGACUGUGGUCUUGCUUAUAAAUAUUGCCUUGUUUUAUGUUGGAGAGAAAAGUUGGGAAGACUUGGGAUUGCUUGUGGAAUCCCAUAUCUCAACCAGGACUCCAGGUUACAAUCAUCCAUUGGGGUUUGUCUUCCUUUGGUUUCAAUAGAAACUUCCUGGCCUUGUUAACUCCUUAACUGUAAAACUUCUUCUGACAAUUGAUUUCAUAUUUGCUGAAGCUAUAUAUGGAAAAAACCCACGAAGGCAAAGAGCAUUGGAAUCAUACAUUUGCCAUGAUGUCUUGGAACAAGAAGAUGCAAUGGACAGACCAGUGAAAUCGCUCAUCCUUGUCCAAAACAACCUGCUUGCUUUCAUUUCCACAGCUUACCGAAAUUUCUAUCUAGCUUUGGAUUGUAGAAGCAGCCCUGUUGUUCUGAUUAUUGAAACACUGAAUUUCCAUCACAAAU
This 807-nucleotide unclassified non-coding RNA is filed under the name Hevea brasiliensis (rubber tree). The record is from RNAcentral. Lineage: Eukaryota; Viridiplantae; Streptophyta; Magnoliopsida; Malpighiales; Euphorbiaceae.